UGAGUCGGCAGGGCGGCCGCGGCAGGAGACUGUCGAGGAAAGUCCGGACUCCACAGGGCAGGGUGGUUGUUAACGGCAACCAGGGGCGACCCUCGGGACAGUGCCACAGAAAACAGACCGCCUCGGCGAAAGCCGCGGUAAGGGUGAAACGGUGGUGUAAGAGACCACCAGCGCCCCAGGUGACUGGGGCGGCUAGGUAAACCCCACCCGGAGCAAGGCCAAGAGGGCACCGGAUCGCAAGUGAAGGUGCUGCGCGAGCGUUCGAGGGCUGCCCGUCCGAUGCUCGCGGGUAGGCCGCUAGAGCCUGUCGGCAACGGCAGGCCCAGAUGGAUGGCCGCCGACUGGGACCUCGGUCCCAUGAACAGGAUCCGGCUUACAUGCCGGCUCAUCCG
This is a non-coding RNA of Lentzea albidocapillata, 392 nucleotides long. It matches the Rfam family "Bacterial RNase P class A". From Rfam's summary of the family: Ribonuclease P (RNase P) is a ubiquitous endoribonuclease, found in archaea, bacteria and eukarya as well as chloroplasts and mitochondria. The record is from Rfam. Lineage: Bacteria; Bacillati; Actinomycetota; Actinomycetes; Pseudonocardiales; Pseudonocardiaceae.